This 465-nucleotide ribosomal RNA is filed under the name uncultured bacterium. Its description in RNAcentral is "partial 16S ribosomal RNA". It matches the Rfam family "Bacterial small subunit ribosomal RNA", at positions 28 to 507 of the family's 1533-position model. The record is from RNAcentral.
GACGAACGCUGGCGGCGUGCUUAACACAUGCAAGUCGAACGGAAAGGCCCUGCUUGCAGGGUACUCGAGUGGCGAACGGGUGAGUAACACGUGGGUGAUCUGCCCUGCACUUCGGGAUAAGCCUUGGGAACUGUGUCUAAUACCGGAUAUGAGCCAUUUUUAGUGUUAUGGGUGGAAAGAUUUUUCGGUGUAGGAUGAGCUCGCUGCCUAUCAGCUUGUUGGUGGGGUAAUGGCCUACCAAGGCGGCCACGGGUAGCCGGCCUGGGAGGGUGGACGGCCAAAUUGGGACUGGGAUACGGGCCAGGAUCCUAAGGGGGGCAGCAGGGGGGAAAAUUGGACAAUGGGCGGGAGCCUGAUGCAGGGAAGCCGGGGGGGGGAUGACGGCCUUUGGGUUGUAAACUCCUUUCGCUAGGGACGAAGCUUUUUGUGACGGUACCUAGAUAAGAAGCACCGGCUAACUACGUG